RNAcentral lists this long non-coding RNA (1865 nucleotides) under Paramuricea clavata. Lineage: Eukaryota; Metazoa; Cnidaria; Anthozoa; Malacalcyonacea; Plexauridae. The record is from RNAcentral.
AUUCAGUUAUUUUUCAUGUUUUGAUGUGCUUUCGUGUACUUUUCAGUAUUUCCAAGCUCACGAUAUUGUAAGAGCGACCAAACUUGUUUAUAUUCAUACUUUUUGUGACUAAAACGUAUUAUCAUGGGCUUGGAAAUAUUGAAACGUGCACGGAAGCACGUCAAAACAUGACAGUUGCGCCAAAAAUAGCUUAAGGCUUUUCAAUGUGACACGUCACAUGAGCGGUGAAACAUUUCAGUUUCCAACGGUAAACGCCCCGUUUCAAACGUAAACAAACGCGCGAAAAUGUUUGCGGUUUGUGCUUGGACGAAAAUGGCUGUAAGCCCAUAACACAAACAGACGUUUCAACCACAACAGUUGGCAUUCAGACAAGCGAGUGUCAUAAUUCUAUGCUUCAAUCCGAGUUUUAAUUUCUGGGUAAACCAUGUUCUGCUGACUUUUAUUGAUAGACAAACUAAUCUCCUUGCAAGGGCACAGACGUUUUCAAGUUACAAGCAUCAUAACACUGUUAAAGUGUUAAUUGGAAUUCAGUGAAGCUUGGGGAGAGAGGAAUUCAGAUAAGUUUCUGACUGAGAACUGUGGCUUACUGGACAACCUUAUACCAGGUGAUUUGGUUCUGGCGGAUAGCGGUUUCACUGUCCAUGAAAGUGUUCAGUUUCACCAAGCCAAAUUGAACAUUCCGGCAUUCACAAAAGGAAAAGACCAACUUGAUUCUGUUGAUGUGGAACAGACAAGAAAGAUUGCUACUGUCCGGAUACAUGUCGAAAGAAUUAUUGGUUUACUGAGACCGAAAUAUACCAUUCUUCAACAAACUUUGCCAACUGAAUGAACUGAUUAAUACCUUAUUUGCAGAAAAGGAGAAUCUGUUCCUCUCAUUGACAGAAUGAUUCCAGUUUGCUCUGCACUAUUAAACCUUUGCCCUCAUACUAUAUAUCUUUUGAUUGAAGUAAAAUAUUUUACAACAUUAUGUUUUCACCAAGACACACAUUCUUUCAACAUUUGAAAAUUUGGUGGUCAAGUCUGAGAACCUCCUCAUGGUGACCACUGGGCAACAGCAUGUUGUGUAAAUCAGGGGUGGAUUAGUAAGCUACUUUAAUUGUACUUCGUCAAAAAGAGACCCCUUUGCAGCUGCAAAGUAAAAAAUCUACCCCUGUUUGUUUCACGACAUGCUGGCUAAUCUCAGCAAUAUUUCAUGCUAUUCUCGUGGGGGCUUGUGAUAUGGGGAAUAAAUACGUCAUCACUGUUUCAACUAGGCCUGUUUGAAUACCAUGAGCAUUGAAACAAUGUAAAAACCAUGUCUGUUGGGACUGUAUUAUUGGUGGGGGUUAACUAAUUGAUUCGGCCACCCAAAGACUUGGGGUAGGCCAGGGCAGUAAACUAUUUUAGGGUCCCAUAGAUAUGAUUUGACAAAGCCAUAUUUUGUGUAAAGUGCUGAGAUUAGCCAAAAGGUUGUGCAAAAGUUUGCAAUCACACAGGGGUAGAUUAACACUUUAACAGACCAACAUAUGACAUUGUACAAAUAAUAUGCAAAAUAAAAUGUUGUCCAGUUAAACAAUAUACAUGUAGGGGUCCUGGUAUGCUAAUCCGCCCUGUGUUUACACAUGCUGUUGCCCAGUGGUCACCAAUGACUCACCAUGUGGAGGUUCUCAGUCUUGACCACCAAAAAUGUUUAAUGUUUAUCAAAGUCUUAAGUCUGUAAUAAUUUUCAAAUGCAAAAAGUUUGUAUCUUUGAUAGAGUUUUAUGUAUAAUAAUUUUAACAGUUACUAGUCAAUAAAAAUGCAAACUGAAUAUUGGUGUAAGCUUUUUUAUUUUGUGCUCUCAGCCGUCGGAAAAAGAGUAAUGAGACCAGCUUUCAGGCAAGCAU